Molecule: RNA transcript, 3267 nt
Organism: Apis cerana (Asiatic honeybee)
Lineage: Eukaryota; Metazoa; Arthropoda; Insecta; Hymenoptera; Apidae
Source: RefSeq, a predicted model, not a curated record
AGUGAACUUGCACGUGAAUAAAUUAAUCGAUAUGUCCUAAUUAUGUAUAUAGACAGAGAGAGAUCAACGACCGGUUUGAAGGUCGGUGAAAAGAUUUCAUUGUAACGUGGCCAUUGUAAAAGGGAGUUGCACGUUGGACGAAUAAUCAAUUUCCGGUUCCUCAUUGUCGAUGCACUGCCGUGAUCACACUCGCGAUCACCCGUGUAACUUUAUGGCGAUAGAAAUUUCUUCGAGGUGGGGCCGAUGAUAGGACGGAGCCGUGUACGAGCUUCGUAUAACGAAACACCCGUCCGACGAACCAUCCCCGACGAAAGAGGAAGUUAAAAAAUUUAAACAACGGUAAAUACAUGCUUAUCGCGUUCGACAAACGUCACGAUCACGUUCGAUCUCGAUCAACGAUCGAGGAACGGAGAACUAGCCGAUUUCGCGAUUCAGAAUGAUGGCAGUAAUGAGUCAUCGAAUCGAUUCGAGAGUAAAUCCUUGACGGAGGACGGAAGGUCGAUAGGUGCCCAAGCGUACUUGACCCUGGCUUUAUCGGUUCAAGGCGAGGUGGAAAGCCACUUCCGUCUCUCGAUCUUGGUUUUUUGGAACGGCGCGGCGGGGGCUGGGCGGUUGGAGGAGGUUGGGCGAAGAACUAUCCCUUAACUUGGGUGGGGAAUCGUCUUCUUAUUUACCUAGAGCGUAUUAGAGAAUGCUUAAUAAUCGCAGCUCGGUCAGAGGCAGGUGGUGGUGGCUUGACCGACUUUUAAAGAAACCUUGGGGGGAGUUGGGCGGCAUCUUCAGUUAGACAUUGGACUCCGUCGAAGGCGAAGAGUCGGAAAAAAGAGCCGGAGGGUGCGACGCGAGGGAGACACGCUCGAUUAUCGAUUAAUGGUAACGAUCGAUUGUCAAGAAAUUUGCUUUCUUCCCUGCCUCCAUCGUGCACAGAACGAAAACGAAGAUGCGGCUGUCGAUGGUGGUCGAACUGUUGCUGAUUCUUCUUUUGGUCGCGUUCGCCGCUUAUGGCAGGGUGAUCGAACGCGAUGGAAAAACGGAGGAGAGAUCAAUCGGAAAUGCGAGCGAGGAUAACCUUGGAAUAUCGACGUUGUCGUUAAAACAGGCGACCGACGAUGUGAAUAGAUAUUGCACCUGCAACGAGAACAUAUGUAAUUGUUGCAGAGACUUCCAUAUACCUUUGGUGCAAUUACAAGGACCAGGAUGCGCAUCCCUGCAAUACAUACAAGGGGAUAAUUUAGCCGUACAACUUAGCUUCGGAGAUAACAUCUUAACCAGCACCAUCGUAAAUGGGAAAAAUCCGAAACCCGUGUGCGUCCCGUUGCCAGGAGGAUUUACGAAAUUCUGCGGUAGAAUUUAUUCCAUUAAACGGGAUGCCAAGAAUCAUUUCAAAGCCUGCCUUGGACUGGAGUUGCAAUCAUCGACCGAACUCGAAGCUAGUUUACGCGUCAGCUGUUUCAGAUUUGGGCCGGACGGUCUCAAGUUACGUCCAGCGGAACCGCUUCCUGUAGUGGAGACCGAGGUCCCGGACGAAGACGACGACGACGAUUUCUUCGGCCUGGACUCGGACGAGGAUGAGGAAGACGACGACUCCGAGGAGGACACGCCGUUGGCCAACGCUGUCCCAGAUUCCUCCUCGGCGGAAGAGGACGAGGACGAGGACGAGGACGAGGAUGUGCUCGGGUUCGGGGCACUUUUGGAUAUCAUUACCGGAGAGGACGAAAGCGCGACCAAGAGGCCGAAAGUAACCACGCCCGCGCCUCUUCUCCAAUUCACGAUCCCCAUUUUAACCAAGCCGACAACUUCGUCUGUUUCUAAUUCCAACGUUGGAGGCGACGUGGUCGCGAGCACCAACUCGGAAGAAUUCUCGAACGCGGAUGAAGAGAGCGUUAACGAAGCGGAUGACGAAUCCGUGGACACUGACACGACGAUCAAAGAGGCAACCGUGACGGAGCCCUCGAAUAAAAUAGCGAAGCCGGAUAAGGCACCGACGAAGAAAUUCACGGUGUCGAGUACGAAGAAGCCGAGCGUUACGAGUUCCAGCAUCAACGCGAUCGAGAACGAGGCGAAUAAGAAAAGGAAACCUUUGAGGAAACCGGUGAAGGGCGGCGAAGAGGAUGAGGACGAUGAUAUCCUAGGGGAAGGCCUGGACGACGACGACGACGACGAUGACGAGGAUGAGGAGAUUUUGAGCGACGACGACGACGAGGAUGAGAAGAAUAGCGAAGAGGAAGAGGAAGAGGGUGAGAAGAACGACGAGAGCGAGAAUCAUGAGGACGAGGACGAGAAAGCUGAAAUCGAAGAUUUGGAUGAUGACGAUGACGAGGAAGAGGAUGCGGUAAUCAGCGCGUUGGUUUACGAUGAUAAAGAAGAUGGGAAGAAGAAAGGCAAAGUGAAGAAACACGAUCAGUCGUCCGAAGCGGACGAUGAUGACUCGGAUUAUGGAUUGGGCCUCACCGGGCUUCUAGCGAGAAACAGACAUUCGAGAAAUAAUCGUCAAAGCAAAGAAAUGAGAUUUCCGAUGAUUGAAAAUUCAACUCUCGUCGUAGAGUCGUAGAAUAAUUAAAGAUUAUUGUGUGACGAUGUUUUUUUCAAAAAAAGAAAAGAAAAGAAAAGAAAAACUUGUAAAAUAUCUUGACUUUUUGAGCAAUGUUUAAUUACUUAACAUUCGUUCAACGUUUUGCUAUAAAUCAUCGUUGAUUUCACGAAGUAUGUAUGGAGACUGAUAACUUUUUUCUUUCAUUUUUCUCUUCUUUAUCGAAUAUAUUAUUUAUAUAUAUUAUCUAUAAGCGUACAAAGAAUUAAAAAAGAUGAUUCAAAUAAUGAUUGAGAUAAAUUUUCUUAUCUGACGUAAUUUGAAAUAAAAACGAAGUUGAAAUGAUAUCUCAUCAAAUCUGAUAAACUAUUUUAUAAUUAAUAUAUAUAUAUAUAUAUUUUCUUUUAUAUGAUAAAAUAUUACGAUAAAAUAUCAUACAAAAAUAUAAAGCGAAUCAUCUAUUAUCUCAGUCAGGACGUAUUGUGCAUAACAUAAGCCAUAUAAAUUUGUGCAAAUAAUGUAAUACUUUUUAAUUAAAUCACUCUUGUUACAUUUUCAAUAUUACUUUCUAGUUUAUUGAUGGUCAUCUCAAUUGAAUUUUAGUCUUCGAUCUGAAUCGUUAGAUAUUAUCGAACCCUUCUUUUUUUUUCCUUCCUCUUCCUUAAAAUCAUGUUGUUCAAAUUGUUCAACGUUCUCGUGAAAUUUUUAAUGAUACAGACUAUUUGUACCGCUACGUA